Small nuclear RNA from Aotus nancymaae (Ma's night monkey), 140 nucleotides. Its record names the gene U4. It matches the Rfam family "U4 spliceosomal RNA". Rfam says of the family: U4 small nuclear RNA (U4 snRNA) is a component of the major U2-dependent spliceosome. The record is from Ensembl. NCBI's taxonomy places the organism in Eukaryota, Metazoa, Chordata, Mammalia, Primates, Aotidae.
AGCUUUGUGCAGUGGCAGUAUUGUAGCCAAUGAGGUUUAUCCGAGGCACGAUUAUUGCUAAUUGAAAACUUUUCCCAAUACCCGCCAUGAUGACUUGAAAUAUAGUCGGCAUUGGCAAUUUUUGACAGUCUCUAUGGAUA